CCUACGGGUGGCUGCAGUGGGGAAUAUUGGACAAUGGGCGAAAGCCUGAUCCAGCCAUGCCGCGUGUGUGAAGAAGGCCUUCGGGUUGUAAAGCACUUUCAGUGGGGAAGAAAGCCUUGGGGCUAAUACCCUCGAGGAAGGACAUCACCCACAGAAGAAGCACCGGCUAACUCCGUGCCAGCAGCCGCGGUAAUACGGAGGGUGCGAGCGUUAAUCGGAAUUACUGGGCGUAAAGCGCGCGUAGGCGGUCUGAUAAGCCGGUUGUGAAAGCCCAGGGCUCAACCUGGGAACGGCAUCCGGAACUGUCAGGCUAGAGUGCAGGAGAGGAAGGUAGAAUUCCCGGUGUAGCAGUGAAAUGCGUAGAGAUCGGGAGGAAUACCAGUGGCGAAGGCGGCCUUCUGGACUGACACUGACGCUGAGGUGCGAAAGCGUGGGUAGCAAACAGGAUUAGAUACCCGUGUAGUC
This 465-nucleotide ribosomal RNA is filed under the name Vreelandella stevensii. RNAcentral's name for it is "partial 16S ribosomal RNA". It matches the Rfam family "Bacterial small subunit ribosomal RNA", at positions 338 to 795 of the family's 1533-position model. Lineage: Bacteria; Pseudomonadati; Pseudomonadota; Gammaproteobacteria; Oceanospirillales; Halomonadaceae. The record is from RNAcentral.